This 413-nucleotide ribosomal RNA is filed under the name uncultured bacterium. Its description in RNAcentral is "bacterial SSU rRNA". It matches the Rfam family "Bacterial small subunit ribosomal RNA", at positions 360 to 773 of the family's 1533-position model. The record is from RNAcentral.
AAUCUUGCACAAUGGAGGCAACUCUGAUGCAGCGACGCCGCGUGAGGGAUGACGGCCUUCGGGUUGUAAACCUCUUUCAGUAGGGAACAAGGCCAGCACUUGUGUUGGUUGAGGGUACUUGCAGAAGAAGCGCCGGCUAACUACGUGCCAGCAGCCGCGGUAAUACGUAGGGCGCAAGCGUUAUCCGGAAUUAUUGGGCGUAAAGAGCUCGUAGGCGGUUUGUCGCGUCUGCCGUGAAAGUCCGGGGCUCAACCCCGGAUCUGCGGUGGGUACGGGCAGACUAGAGUGAUGUAGGGGAGACUGGAAUUCCUGGUGUAGCGGUGAAAUGCGCAGAUAUCAGGAGGAACACCGAUGGCGAAGGCAGGUCUCUGGGCAUUAACUGACGCUGAGGAGCGAAAGCAUGGGGAGCGAAC